Molecule: ribosomal RNA, 742 nt
Filed under: uncultured bacterium
Lineage: Bacteria
Description: bacterial SSU rRNA
Rfam family: Bacterial small subunit ribosomal RNA
Source: RNAcentral
AGCGGCGGACGGGUGAGUAACACGUGGGUAACCUGCCCAAGAGACUGGGAUAACACCUGGAAACAGAUGCUAAUACCGGAUAACAACACUAGACGCAUGUCUAGAGUUUGAAAGAUGGUUCUGCUAUCACUCUUGGAUGGACCUGCGGUGCAUUAGCUAGUUGGUAAGGUAAUGGCUUACCAAGGCAACGAUGCAUAGCCGAGUUGAGAGACUGAUCGGCCACAUUGGGACUGAGACACGGCCCAAACUCCUACGGGAGGCAGCAGUAGGGAAUCUUCCACAAUGGACGCAAGUCUGAUGGAGCAACGCCGCGUGAGUGAAGAAGGUUUUCGGAUCGUAAAGCUCUGUUGUUGGUGAAGAAGGAUAGAGGUAGUAACUGGCCUUUAUUUGACGGUAAUCAACCAGAAAGUCACGGCUAACUACGUGCCAGCAGCCGCGGUAAUACGUAGGUGGCAAGCGUUGUCCGGAUUUAUUGGGCGUAAAGCGAGCGCAGGCGGAAAAAUAAGUCUAAUGUGAAAGCCCUCGGCUUAACCGAGGAACUGCAUCGGAAACUGUUUUUCUUGAGUGCAGAAGAGGAGAGUGGAACUCCAUGUGUAGCGGUGGAAUGCGUAGAUAUAUGGAAGAACACCAGUGGCGAAGGCGGCUCUCUGGUCUGCAACUGACGCUGAGGCUCGAAAGCAUGGGUAGCGAACAGGAUUAGAUACCCUGGUAGUCCAUGCCGUAAACGAUGAGUGCUAAGUGU